RNAcentral lists this ribosomal RNA (802 nucleotides) under Percopsis omiscomaycus. RNAcentral's name for it is "partial 12S ribosomal RNA". It matches the Rfam family "Bacterial small subunit ribosomal RNA", at positions 2 to 1366 of the family's 1533-position model. The record is from RNAcentral. Lineage: Eukaryota; Metazoa; Chordata; Actinopteri; Percopsiformes; Percopsidae.
AAGGCUUUUUCUGAUUUUACUAUCAGCUUUAGCCAAACUUAUACAUGCAAGUAUCCGCGCCCCAGUGAGAAUGCCCUCAGCUUCCUGCCCGGAAGCAAGGAGCUGGUAUCAGGCACAAUUAAUGCAGCCCAAGACGCCUUGCUCAGCCACGCCCCCAAGGGAGUUCAGCAGUAGUAGACAUUAAGCCAUAAGUGUAAACUUGACUUAGUUAAGGCUAACAGGGCCGGUAAAACUCGUGCCAGCCACCGCGGUUAUACGAGAGGCUCAAGUUGAUUCUACCCGGCGUAAAAGGUGGCUAGGGUAAUUUUAUAUAGGGCCGAACCCCCUCUAGGCUGUUAUACGCAUCCGAAGAAUGAAGCACCAACACGAAAGUAGCCCUACCUCCCCCGAACCCACGAAAGCCAUAAAACAAACUGGGAUUAGAUACCCCACUAUGUCUGGCCUAAACUUCGAUAGAAUAUCACACCCCUAUCCGCCAGGGAACUACAAGCACCAGCUUUAAACCCAAAGGACUUGGCGGUGCUUUAGACCCCCCUAGAGGAGCCUGUUCUAAAACCGAUAAUCCCCGUUGAACCUCACCACCUUUUGUUAACUCCGCCUAUAUACCGCCGCCGUCAGCUUACCCUGUGAAGGCCUCAUAGUAAGCAAAAUUGGCAAACCCCAAAACGUCAGGUCGAGGUGUAGCGUAUGAGGUGGGAAGAAAUGGGCUACAUUCUUUCAAACCAGAGAAUACGAAUAUGGACUGAAAUCGCCCAUUUAAAGGAGGAUUUAGCAGUAAGUAAAAACAGAGUGUUUUACUGAA